Long non-coding RNA from Polyodon spathula (Mississippi paddlefish), 1014 nucleotides. RefSeq lists it as uncharacterized. NCBI's taxonomy places the organism in Eukaryota, Metazoa, Chordata, Actinopteri, Acipenseriformes, Polyodontidae. The record is from RefSeq and is a predicted model, not a curated record. The transcript is spliced from 2 exons.
AGGCAGAGAGCAGAGCUGCAGCUAAACCAGCUGUGCAGGGAGACGCAGCCGAGGAGGAUGAGUGGGAGGACUGAAGCAGGAAGAGUUGAAGCCUUGUCUCGUUCCGUUAAGAGAUGGGAUCGCUCUAGUUUGCAGGAGUGUCACUUCCACAUGCCUUGUUUUUUUUUGAUUCCCGAAUCAAGUCUUUCAGCCCAGGAGUGCACUGGUUAUUACCAGGGUUAACAAGACAGUCUUGGACACUCCAGGAUAAAUCCCAAGCUAUUUUUAGGAACUCUCCAGGUUUAAGAUUUGAAUCCAAGUAGUAGUUUACACAUUUCUAUGUCCUUAUCAAGAUCAUUACUGGUUUGAAAAGAAACUGACAACUUCAGCAGUAACUUCAUCAGAUGAUAUAGAGCCUUCUCGCAAGGCAUCUCAAAACACAGAGACCUAACCUCCGCAUUUCCAGGACCGUAGAUGCAAGGUCCGUUCUUUAUCUCUAUUCUUUAUGCCAGUCUUUUCUUUGUGUUAGUUCCUUAUUAGUCAGUGCUGCACUCCUGUGUCCUGUGUCUUGUAUCUGAUUGUGUGCUAGACAGUGCUGCACUCCUGUGUCGUGUGUCUUGUAUCUGAUUGUGUGCUAGUCAGUACUGCACUCCUAUGUCCUGUGUCUUGUUUGUCUGAUGCAGUAUAACGCAGUUCACCCUCUGCUUGUGAAAUAUCUUGAAAUACUUCAAACAAAUCUGUGUAAAGCUUAAUGUAUCCCACUGUAUUUGUAUACAUAUAGAUCAAUAUUAGAAACAUGUAUUUGUAAGAGUGGAACAAGCUUAUUUUCUGUGGAUUUUAUUGUUUCCAGUGUAAAAAAUAAAUACUUGAUAAAAAUGUCAGAUGUACAGAACAGCAAAAUAAUUUUUUUACCACCCUUUGCUGUUCAGUUUCACGCUUGCAUGUGCUUUACUACAUUUUGCAAUAUACUUUUGUGACUGUCGAAAGGGGGAAAAAAACAAAGUAUACCCAAUAAAUAAUAUUCAGAAAAAAAAA